Acipenser ruthenus (sterlet) is the source of this 247-nucleotide long non-coding RNA. RefSeq lists it as uncharacterized. The record is from RefSeq and is a predicted model, not a curated record. The transcript is spliced from 4 exons. NCBI's taxonomy places the organism in Eukaryota, Metazoa, Chordata, Actinopteri, Acipenseriformes, Acipenseridae.
CUGACAAGAGAGCUCGCAAAUCAAGAAGUAGGGCAGCAAAGAAGGCCAGAAAAGCAGCAAAGAAGGCAGCUAAGGCUUCACUCUCUGGAAACAAACCUGGCUCAGAGGUAGCACCUGAGCCGGCAGCAGAACCAGCACCUGAAGCUGCUGCUGCAUAGUAACCCAUAGGAAAGCCCAGCAGCUCCCUUCCACCAUCGCAGCUCCUGGAUCACCAGGAACACUCUGAUUAAUAAACAUUAUCAUGCAA